AUAUAAUUAAAUUAUAAGAAUUAUAUUUACUCCUUUUAUAAUUUAUAUCUAUAAUAUAAUAUAAUAUAAAAU
RNAcentral lists this transfer RNA (72 nucleotides) under Saccharomyces cerevisiae (brewer's yeast). RNAcentral describes it as "tRNA-Phe". Lineage: Eukaryota; Fungi; Ascomycota; Saccharomycetes; Saccharomycetales; Saccharomycetaceae. The record is from RNAcentral.